RNAcentral lists this ribosomal RNA (497 nucleotides) under uncultured bacterium. RNAcentral describes it as "partial 16S ribosomal RNA". It matches the Rfam family "Bacterial small subunit ribosomal RNA", at positions 28 to 507 of the family's 1533-position model. The record is from RNAcentral.
GAUGAACGCUGGCGGCGUGCCUAAUACAUGCGAGUCGAGCGAACAGACGAGGAGCUUGCUCCUCUGACGUUAGCGGCGGACGGGUGAGUAACACGUGGAUAACCUACCUAUAAGACUGGGAUAACUUCGGGAAACCGGAGCUAAUACCGGAUAAUAUAUUGAACCGCAUGGUUCAAUAGUGAAAGACGGUUUUGCUGUCACUUAUAGAUGGAUCCGCGCCGCAUUAGCUAGUUGGUAAGGUAACGGCUUACCAAGGCGACGAUGCGUAGCCGACCUGAGAGGGUGGUCGGCCACACUGGAACUGAGACACGGUCCAGACGCCUACGGGAGGCAGCAGUAGAGAAUCUUCCGCAAUGGGCGAAAGCCUGACGGAGCAACGCCGCGUGAGUGAUGAAGGUCUUCGGAUCGUAAAACUCUGUUAUUAGGGAAGAACAAAUGUGUAAGUAACUAUGCACGUCUUGACGGUACCUAAUCAGAAAGCCACGGCUAACUACGUG